AUGCGCUCACAACGCUCCUCCCCCCGAAUGGGGUUCACCCAGGAGGCCCUGGGCUCCGGUGGGACGGUCUCUCUGGGAGCACAAUGCACACGGGGCGGCACGGCUCCCAGGCUCCAGAGCCUAAGUCCUCUGCACACAACCGCAGCCUCAGACAAAGCCCGGCCACCCCUCUCUCCCUCGGCCACCUAUUGUCACCUGGCCUUCCAGGUGAGUAUUUGCUCUGGGCCUGGCCUGAUACUAUUGAUCGCCGGUGAGGUGGGGCUGCGGGUGGGGCUGGGAGCGUGUGGUUUUCAGACCCAAGGGGUCCUGGCGCACCUCCAGUGCCCUGGGCUCCGUGGCUCCCCCCGCAGUGCCAUUGCGCUGCGUGUCACGCCAGCAGCCCCGAGGGGGCCGAGGCGCGCCUGCCCAGGUCACUGCCAGUUUCGGGGACAGGGACCUGACACGGUGCCCAGCACGGGGUGCAGACCAGGCCUCUGGGUGUUUGCGUCUGUGCAGCCACUCGGGGAAAUAGUCUCACCCACACGGAUAAGAUCCUGCCCAAGGCAGGCGGGGGUCUGGGAGGUGGUCCGGGCCAGCGACCCAGAACUUCAUCUCCACAUGAGGCCUCUGAGAAGAAAUCGCCGGGGCUCCCAGGCCCUCCUGUCUCCAGUGGAAGCGCAGAAGGUCGAGGCUCAAGGAGUGUCUGAGCCCCCAGGAGAGCUGCGGUUGGUACCCACGUGCCUCAUCAGCAGUUUCUUCCUCCUUCAAUCAAGUCCACAGAGCCGGAGUGAAGAGGCUUGGAGGCAGGUGCAAUGGCGACUAGGGUCCAGCCCUGGUCCCCGCAGUGACCAGCAGGAUUCGGCCAGGGGACAACGGGAGAGGGAGCACCCCCUUCCGAGUGCCCAUCCACCCACAGUGGGCAGGUCCCUUGGCCCCGGGACUCACAUCCAUCGUCCUCCCUGGAGGACGGGAGCCGAGGGGGCCCGCUGGUCACCAACGCAGGCAGGGAGGACCCCCAGCCGCUGCUUCCAGGGUCCCCAGCUUCAUGCAGCCCUGGGGUUGGCUGUAAGGGCUGUCACACUGUCUGCCAGGGUCCCCAGCCUCAUGCAGCCCUGGGGUUGGCCCUGGGGUUGGCUGUAA
Molecule: long non-coding RNA, 1119 nt
Filed under: Sus scrofa (pig)
Lineage: Eukaryota; Metazoa; Chordata; Mammalia; Artiodactyla; Suidae
Description: lncRNA (ENSSSCG00070009657.1)
Source: RNAcentral